This is a non-coding RNA of Sus scrofa (pig), 494 nucleotides long. Lineage: Eukaryota; Metazoa; Chordata; Mammalia; Artiodactyla; Suidae. The record is from RefSeq and is a predicted model, not a curated record.
CAGAAAGUGAUCGAGACUCGGUGGCGGAGCGCACCGACUGCCGCCAGGAUGAGGAGGCUGCAGGAACUCACGACGACGAUGUUGUGGAGGCCGGUGGGAGUGAGAAGACUGAGGCAAAGCCCCGGGCUGGGGGACAUGAGGACGAGGCGGCCCCAGUACCUGAGGUGGAGGUGGAGGAGGAGGCGGGCCAGCCCCGUGAAAAUGGCCAGGAGGAGUCCUUAGCCAUCGCCUGGGCUGAGCCGGAAGACGAGCCUGGCCCCAAGGUGGACGGGGCGGACGAUGAAAUCUCUUGGAGCUUGGAGAGUGUGUGUGAGAGCGACCUCGCUGACAGCAACCUCGCAGAAAGUGAUCGAGGUAAGAACAGCUCUCAGGUAGGAGCCAGUGGGAGAGGGUUCCCGGGACACUUGGAACUUAGGCCUGCUGCUUGGAGGGUGGGGCGGGUGAGUGUGCAAUUGCAAAAGAGAAAGAAAUUGGUGUAAAGAUGUUCGUCGCCU